UCAGACGAUGCGUCAUGCAUAUCAAUAAGCGGAGGAAAAGAAACUAACAAGGAUUCCCCUAGUAACGGCGAGUGAAGCGGGAAGAGCUCAAAUUUGAAAUCUUAAAGGGUUUCCCUUUACGAAUUGUAGUUUAAAGAAGUGUUUUCUGUUGAGGUUUUGGUAAAAGUUCUUUGGAAUAGGACAUCAUAGAGGGUGAGAAUCCCGUAUUUGACCUUUACUUUCAACUUUGUGAUACACUUUCAAAGAGUCGGAUUGUUUGGGAAUGCAGUCCAAAAUGGGUGGUAAAUUUCAUCUAAAGCUAAAUAUUGGCGAGAGACCGAUAGCGAACAAGUACCGUGAGGGAAAGAUGAAAAGAACUUUGAAAAGAGAGUUAAACAGUACGUGAAAUUGUCAAAAGGGAAGCGUUUGACACCAGUGUUGUUUUUCUGAAAAUCAAUUAAAGAACUGUUUAUGCUAAGUUGUUUAGACUUUAUCAGCUAUACUGCUUAGUUUUGAGCUUUUCUUUAAUGCACUUUUCAGUUAACAAGUCAACAUCAAUUUCUUUUGCUGUAAAAAAGCUUGAGGAAGGUGGCUUGAGAUUCGUCUUAAGUGUUUAUAGCCUCUUGCCUAUGCAGUCGGAGAGAUUGAGGUCUGCAGCGUAGAUCCUUCGGGGCUAAAUGCAUUUGUGCUAAGUUAUAGCAUUUUAUAGACAACUUGUUGACUAUGAUUUGUCUUGUAGCUUACUCGCUUAUGUUAUUUUACCUACGCUUAGGAUGUUGACACACGCGCGUGCUCG
RNAcentral lists this ribosomal RNA (775 nucleotides) under uncultured Neocallimastigales. RNAcentral's name for it is "partial large subunit ribosomal RNA". It matches the Rfam family "Eukaryotic large subunit ribosomal RNA", at positions 18 to 656 of the family's 3401-position model. Lineage: Eukaryota; Fungi; Neocallimastigomycota; Neocallimastigomycetes; Neocallimastigales. The record is from RNAcentral.